CUGCUGUAAAACAAUUUGUAAAACAUCAGAAAGUGUAUUCAUAACCAUUUCAGGCUUUUAUAAACAUUAAACUCUACAAAUGUCUGUUUCCUAUCACCACCGCUCUGAACAACUCUGACAACUCUGAGUUUCUCUAGAAUAGGGCAUUUCACAUUAAACCACUCUGAAUAACUUGUUUGAAAUCAGUAAUGUAUGGACUAUAUAUUCUUAUCCAACUUCAGGCUGAAAGAAGCCCAGCAGUCAGUGCGUAACAUCACAGCAGAGAAGAAAGUGGAGACCAGAAGGGUCCAUGCAAACAGCUUGAAGGAAAGACUGCGUCAGAAAGAAGCGAGUAUAAGCAGCACCUAAGAUGUAACCAACUCUUCAUACUAAUACAAGGUGUACUUUACAUCAUUCACGAAUGGGAUUGGUGGCAGUUUUGAUCCAGGUAUUGUGGAAACUGCACAUGGAUUGGAAAAGUACCGCUAUUUGUGAGGGUGCUAUGCAUUCUGCCGAUUGCAGAAGGUCAUUCACUCCACAGUUAUUAGAGUCAUGCUGUAAAACUGUGGUCACUUAAGCUUCUUCCUGGAUUCUCCCCAGGUAAAACUAAUCCAGCUCCAACAGUUAAAGGAUGGAGUUUAAGAACUCUGGCCUGCACAUUAACGGGGAUGUAGCCAAGGAGUGGCCAGGGGCUGCUCUGUGAGCAUUAUAUGAAGUAGGCUAUGGGGAGAUGUGUUAACUCUUCAGAAUUAGUUGACUUUAAUCUUUUGUCACACUAAUUAUUUUCAUGUGCAUGUCAGGGGCUGGACGAAUCCUGUGCUAAGUGAAAUACAGUCAUAUCAACACCUCAGUCUAAACUGAGUUUUUUGUUCAUUUUCUAAGUGUGAGUGAGUCAGCACAUCCUCUUCAGGAACCAAACUUAAUUGUGGCACUGUUUUUAUUUAUUUGCUGAGUUUAACAGCUUAGAAAAAAUAAAAUGAAAAUGUGCCAUAACAUUUGCAAAGGCUACAUUUUGUUUACAUUUUUUCAAUAUUUUAAUACAAUACAAUAAAUCAGCAGACGUGUGUAGAGGAUGUCUACAUAAGUUCAUUAUGAGACCAACCAAAUCAAGUAACUUCAACAGCCUAAAAUGUUGACUGAAAGUAAACGUUCCUCUCACUGAAAGAAAGAGAUGCAUUUACUUUACUGUGACAAUAUUUUAUUGUAAUACAUUCUGCUACAGUAUGCUUUUCCGAGCAUAGUAUGAAUAUCGUCAGUACAUCAAGAACCAUUGACCAACUGCAUGUUUCAUUACAGUGAGAGCAAAAGUCCUGUUUAAUUGUAUUUAGUGCAACAAAACAAUGAACAAAAAUCACUGUGUUCAGGUUUUUUCUGAUUUUUUUACAUGUGGCAGUACUGCUUCUGACUUUUUUCUGCUUCAGUUUAUCAAAUCUCAGAAAUACGAAAUAUUGUGACAUAUCGCCUAUGGUGAAAGUUUUGUGAUGUUUUUGCUAUAUCAUCAGUUUACAUUUGACAGUUAUUGUGUUGUUGUUUUAUUGUGGAAAUUACAUACAGAUUCAGUAAAUUUUAUACAUUUUCAC
This is a long non-coding RNA of Pygocentrus nattereri (red-bellied piranha), 1559 nucleotides long. The record is from Ensembl. NCBI's taxonomy places the organism in Eukaryota, Metazoa, Chordata, Actinopteri, Characiformes, Serrasalmidae.